Molecule: long non-coding RNA, 323 nt
Filed under: Rattus norvegicus (Norway rat)
Lineage: Eukaryota; Metazoa; Chordata; Mammalia; Rodentia; Muridae
Description: long non-coding RNA NONRATT029776
Source: RNAcentral
GCAGGGGAGGCCUCCCACAGCAUCAGGAAAAGGUGCACCCGACACUCUGAUCUCUCGGGUGUCAGGUGGGAACUCUGUGAAAUCACUAUUUCCUCACAGAUGGAUGCAGAAGGCAGAGGCAGAGCGGCAUGGGGGUUGGGGACCCUCUCUGCCCAGAGAGAGAAGAAAGGGUGGGGGUGGGGAAGCAGUGUCAAGGACUGGCAUGUACAUACAAAAGGGGUUACAGGCAACCAAGGGUCGGGAUUAUGGCCUCGAUUUAUAUAUCAGCCAAAUGCUUUUUGAUCAUUUCUCCUUGGUGCUGCCCAUUAGGUCCUCCUUAGCCC